This 546-nucleotide ribosomal RNA is filed under the name uncultured bacterium. RNAcentral's name for it is "partial 16S ribosomal RNA". It matches the Rfam family "Bacterial small subunit ribosomal RNA", at positions 355 to 912 of the family's 1533-position model. The record is from RNAcentral.
UGGGGAAUAUUGCACAAUGGGCGCAAGCCUGAUGCAGCAACGCCGCGUGCGGGAUGACGGCCUUCGGGUUGUAAACCGCUUUUAGUAGGGAAGAAGCCUUCGGGUGACGGUACCUGCAGAAAAAGGACCGGCUAACUACGUGCCAGCAGCCGCGGUAAUACGUAGGGUCCGAGCGUUGUCCGGAAUUAUUGGGCGUAAAGAGCUCGUAGGCGGUUUGUCGCGUCUGCUGUGAAAACUAGAGGCUCAACCUCUAGCCUGCAGUGGGUACGGGCAGACUUGAGUGGUGUAGGGGAGACUGGAAUUCCUGGUGUAGCGGUGGAAUGCGCAGAUAUCAGGAGGAACACCGAUGGCGAAGGCAGGUCUCUGGGCACUUACUGACGCUGAGGAGCGAAAGCGUGGGGAGCGAACAGGAUUAGAUACCCUGGUAGUCCACGCCGUAAACGUUGGGCGCUAGAUGUGGGGACCUUUCCACGGUUCCGUGUCGUAGCUAACGCAUUAGCGCCCCGCCUGGGGANUACGGCCGCAAGGCUAAAACUCAAGGAAUUG